Homo sapiens (human) is the source of this 798-nucleotide long non-coding RNA. Ensembl annotates it as long intergenic non-protein coding RNA 472. NCBI's taxonomy places the organism in Eukaryota, Metazoa, Chordata, Mammalia, Primates, Hominidae. The record is from Ensembl.
GAGGUGGGCAAGUUAGUUGCUCCAAAAACAAGAUAAAAUGAUUGAGUUCUUUUCUCAAGCGGGAGUCGGAGUUUAUCUGCUCUGAGGACACAGCAUGUACAACCUCACAUAGAGUUCCUGACCAGACAAGACUUGCUGGAAAUUUCCCAGGAUCUUCCUUCCUUAAGCAUCCAUCAUGGGAAGCCACCUUGCCCUAGGGAGAGCUCCUGACCUAGGGUCAGGAAUAUAUUAAGGAAGACAGCAAUUAAUACAUUCAAAAAUAAUAAUAAUUACAAAUUGAGGCAGCCUGCCUAGUGAUUAAGAGGAUGGACUCUAAAGCCAGACAGCCUGGAUUUGAUUCUCAGCUCUGCUGUGGAUUUACAACCUUGGGGAACUUGUCUGUGCCUUAGUUUUGAUGGAGUUCAGGACACAGUACUCCAAAAGAUGACAUCUUGGCAUAAUGAUUAAGAAAAUGGCAGGAGCGGCAGAAAGGUCUCUCUGACCUGGAAGGAAUUUUCUGACCUUCUGAAGCAGGUCCUAAAACUCUGAUGUGAGAGGUACCCUCCCUAUACCUGGGAGGAAGGAACAUCCUGUCUUCAAAGAUGAACACAGUGGCAUCUGAACAAACAGGCCUUGCCAAGUUUCCACCAGUUUACUACACUUACCUCAUACUCCACCUUAUAGUAUUUCUGCACAACUGUCCACACUUCUUCAAACCUGCUAUAAAAACCACUCCCAUUUCACAUUUGAACGCUUUCUUCAGGUCUUCAUUUCCUAAUGAAGGCUCCUGUGUUACAUAAAACUUAUAUGAAAUAAAUA